GAUGAACGCUGGCGGCGUGCCUAAUACAUGCAAGUCGAGCGAACAGACGAGGAGCUUGCUCCUCUGACGUUAGCGGCGGACGGGUGAGUAACACGUGGAUAACCUACCUAUAAGACUGGGAUAACUUCGGGAAACCGGAGCUAAUACCGGAUAAUAUAUUGAACCGCAUGGUUCAAUAGUGAAAGACGGUUUUGCUGUCACUUAUAGAUGGAUCCGCGCCGCAUUAGCUAGUUGGUAAGGUAACGGCUUACCAAGGCAACGAUGCGUAGCCGACCUGAGAGGGUGAUCGGCCACACUGGAACUGAGACACGGUCCAGACUCGUACGGGAGGCAGCAGUAGGGAAUCUUCCGCAAUGGGCGAAAGCCUGACGGAGCAACGCCGCGUGAGUGAUGAAGGUCUUCGGAUCGUAAAACUCUGAUAUUAGGGAAGAACAAAUGUGUAAGUAACUAUGCACGUCUUGACGGUACCUAAUCAGAAAGCCACGGCUAACUACGUG
RNAcentral lists this ribosomal RNA (497 nucleotides) under uncultured bacterium. RNAcentral's name for it is "partial 16S ribosomal RNA". It matches the Rfam family "Bacterial small subunit ribosomal RNA", at positions 28 to 507 of the family's 1533-position model. The record is from RNAcentral.